RNAcentral lists this ribosomal RNA (534 nucleotides) under Geobacillus sp. PA-3. RNAcentral's name for it is "eukaryotic LSU rRNA". Lineage: Bacteria; Bacillati; Bacillota; Bacilli; Caryophanales; Anoxybacillaceae. The record is from RNAcentral.
GUCGCAAGCAGGACUCGGUCCUAGUUUGAGAGGUUUUCUUUCAACUAACCGAACGUGAAGUCGAGGUCGUGGUUUCAUGACACUCGGAGUCGAAAAGCAUAACAGAUCGAAGCCGGCGAUAGCCGAGCGCUGCGAAGCACAGGGCGACGCCGCCGUUGUCGGAGGAGCGCCCGGAGAGUCGCGCAAAGCGGCUAUUCGUUCGCUGGAGUCGAAAAGAAUACUGCGAACACAAAACAAAUCAAAAGUUCCUUGAAAUCUUAACCACAACGUGUGAAAAUAAUAAUAUGAGUGGUAAGUAAAGCGACAGUUAUACAAAAAAUAAAAAUAGUCGCUGCAAAUAAUUAUAUGAACUAUACAUACAUUUUCAGUUAUCAAAAAUUGUUUUUUUUUACUUUUCCGUAAAACCGAUCUGCUACGGAAGAGUUAAGAUAAAAUCGAUUUGCCUAGGAAUGUUUUAUAUAACCAGCUAAUGUUAAUUACGGCGUCGGGGACCCUACGGUUCUUUAGGCGUUUGCUCACUCCACUAUUUCAAUU